This 468-nucleotide ribosomal RNA is filed under the name uncultured bacterium. RNAcentral's name for it is "partial 16S ribosomal RNA". It matches the Rfam family "Bacterial small subunit ribosomal RNA", at positions 28 to 507 of the family's 1533-position model. The record is from RNAcentral.
GACGAACGCUGGCGGCGUGCUUAACACAUGCAAGUCGAACGGAAAGGCCCUGCUUUUGUGGGGUGCUCGAGUGGCGAACGGGUGAGUAACACGUGAGUAACCUGCCCUUGACUUUGGGAUAACUUCAGGAAACUGGGGUUAAUACCGGAUAGGAGCUCCUGCUGCAUGGUGGGGGUUGGAAAGUUUCGGCGGUUGGGGAUGGACUCGCGGCUUAUCAGCUUGUUGGUGGGGUAGUGGCUUACCAAGGCGUUGACGGGUAGCCGGCCUGAGAGGGUGACCGGCCACAUUGGGACUGAGAUACGGCCCAGACUCCUACGGGAGGCAGCAGUGGGGAAUAUUGCACAAUGGGCGGAAGCCUGAUGCAGCAGCGCCGCGUGCGGGAUGACGGCCUUCGGGUUGUAAACCGCUUUCGCCUGUGACGAAGCGUGAGUGACGGUAAUGGGUAAAGAAGCACCGGCUAACUACGUG